UGGUUUUUGAACUAAAGUUGCUCACAGUUAUUUAACAAGGGAUACAUCAGAUUUUUUUGUCCAUUUUAAACCAUUAAAUAAUGUCAGUUUGUGUCUGUAUAUGUGUGUGUGCGCGCGUGUGUGUCUUCAAAGUACAAAAUAGGAAGGAUAACAAGAGGUAUUGCUUUCAUUUAUUCUUAUAUCUUGUGUAAGUAAUCCCCUUCCUGCUUGUACCACAUGGGUUUUGCUGAUAUAGGUAUUUUUAAAUUAUUAUUAUUUUGUAUUGAAAUCCCAGCCUUUUGUAGAGGUACAAUGUAACAGAAGCAUCAAAAUCUGUACACAAGGGAAGAGAAAAGAGGGAAAAGAAGGAUGGGGGUGAUGGGAGGGGAGCUCGGAGGAGAAGUAGAGAGAGGGUGGAGGCAGGAAAGACAACGAAAGCAAAAGAGACUAAUUUACAGCAAUGUCAUGCAAUUAAAACUGCCCCCCUCUCCUGCACCCUUGCCUCCCCCCCUCCCCAGCCAUCACCCCCAGGUGUCUGACAUGCACACAGCAAUACGAGAGAGAAAAGUUUUAAGAAUAGGGAAAAUAAAUAAAUAAAUAAACCAAUAAAAUAAAAUAAAUCCCUCCCAUUUGGGGGAAUGGGGAAACGGGGCAGAAGUCAAAGGUCUUUGCCCCAGUUGUGUCUUUAAAAAUUCUUUUUAAUCUUCAAACCUAUGUACAAGUAAAACUGGUCCAAGAAGGGGAAAAACGGUUAAAAAAACCAACAACAACAACAACAACGAAAAAGAACUCAUCCAACAGUAUCAUUAAAAAAAAAAUAUUUUGCGAUACAACAUACACCCAUAGGAACCCAACGAGCAGCAAUCGAAGGUCAUAAAAGAGCUGAACACUAAUGCUAAGCCUACAUUCUUAAAAUCUCAGUCAAGAAGUACUUCUCACUGUGUUUUGUCUUCCACGCGUAAAACCACAUUGGUUUUGUUUGUUUAACCUUUGAGCUUGGGCCAGAAUAAGUUACACUUGGUCCCCAUCCACCCAAUCCCACCCUCCUCCCUUUCAAAAAAACAAACACAACAAACCAAAACAAACCAAAAACAAACUAAAACCAAAACCAAACAAAACUUUAUAAAAAUAUCUUGC
Molecule: long non-coding RNA, 1116 nt
Filed under: Strigops habroptila (Kakapo)
Lineage: Eukaryota; Metazoa; Chordata; Aves; Psittaciformes; Psittacidae
Description: lncRNA (ENSSHBG00005003153.1)
Source: RNAcentral